GACGAACCGAGCGAACGUUGUUCGGAAUCACUGGGCUUAAAGGGCGCGUAGGCGGGCUGUCAAGUCUGGGGUGAAAUCCCGCGGCUCAACCGUGGAACUGCCUUAGAUACUGUCGGCCUCGAGGGAGAUAGGGGCGAGCGGAACUGUGAGUGGAGCGGUGAAAUGCGUUGAUAUUCACAGGAACUCCGGUGGCGAAGGCGGCUCGCUGGAUCUCUUCUGACGCUGAGGCGCGAAAGCUAGGGGAGCAAACGGG
This 253-nucleotide ribosomal RNA is filed under the name uncultured bacterium. Its description in RNAcentral is "partial 16S ribosomal RNA". It matches the Rfam family "Bacterial small subunit ribosomal RNA", at positions 524 to 776 of the family's 1533-position model. The record is from RNAcentral.